CAUAGCUGCGGACACAAACACAACCACUGCUUUGACUCAUCCGUUUGACCUCAGACAGCUCUAGGCUCAGGCGGCAGUGGUGGGCAGGGCGGCCUCACAGCCAGGAGAUCCUGGGACCGUUCUAUGAGCAGCCGUUUGGAAGUUCACCUCGGGUUCAAGUGGGUUUCCCCACAACCCUGGGUGCAUGUAAGGUUAAAGCAGGCUUUAUAGUCUCUGUGGCUGUGUGUGUGUGUGUGUGUGUGUGUGUGUGUGUGUGUGUGUGUGUGUGUGUGUGUGUGUGUCCAUUUUGUGAGGAGCUUCAACAGGUCAGAGGUGGGGGACAGGGCAAGGGCUCACUGGAAGUCCUUUUUGGUUCACACCCAGCGACUAUUUAAUGUUAGGUUAGGGUUUAAUGCUCCUGCCAGUGCCCUUGAGCAAGGCAGCAUCAUUAGACCAGGAGAUGGAGGCCGGGCACUGCGCCCUCUUCCCCUACUGAAGGGAUGAAUGCAGAUUUGAAGCAUUAGUGAUGAGCUUAUGGCUCAGUGCAGCACGCCAUGUGCCCGUUUCAAGUGGCACCUUAAAACCUAACCCAAAUCUGUUUAUUAUAACUCAACAGUUUAAUUUGGCAAUAAUAUGACCGGAAUACAUGUUUGUUUUAAUAGCAGUGAGGGGACAGAAUUUGAGGAAUGUGGAAGGUUCAUGACCACAGGGGGUUAAACAAUGGUUGGUCUUGGCUUUCCUUAUUUGGGCAAUACAUUAAUACGAAGAUGACAAAAAAAACUGCAAGUCAUCCCCCUUGUUGAUCUCAUUCUUGUAGCACGAGGUGAAACAGGGGCUGGAACCCAGCCCUAUCAUUAUGACUUGAGUAUGUUUAAUGUUCAAAUAUGACAUGUUCAUGUUCAAAUAUUUAAUGUUCAAAUAUGACAGAUUAACACAUUUAAAAGUCCCCUUCCCCGUUUGAGAGGAAUAUUAUGUCAUAGUUGAUCGUCAACGUAGUAUUUUAUGCCAUUUCGUUAGGGUUAACCAAGAUAAGAUCGUCAAGUUUUACAGCCGUAAAAUCAUGCGUUUUUGCCCGUCUCGGACAACCAUUUUGGGAACACUAUACUGUGCUGAGAACGAAGGAGGCAUGGUGUGUGUGACAGUGUGGAGCUCUGUCUGGCCAGCGGUUGAUUUGGAUGUCGGAGAGCGGUUAAAGAUUAUCGGACCAUUCAUUGUAGCAUAACACUGUUAUACUAUAGUGUCUAGUCACAGUGUGUCUAGUCACAGUGUGUGUUGACUUUCAUACAGGUACAAUAUCACUCAUUAUACUAUAAUAUUACUCCUACACAACAACAGCACUAAAGUAUCACAAAGUUGGGGUGGGUCGUUGCCAUGGGGAUAAAACAUCACCCCGUCUU
Long non-coding RNA from Gadus macrocephalus (Pacific cod), 1376 nucleotides. RefSeq lists it as uncharacterized. The record is from RefSeq and is a predicted model, not a curated record. NCBI's taxonomy places the organism in Eukaryota, Metazoa, Chordata, Actinopteri, Gadiformes, Gadidae. The transcript has 2 exons.